This 429-nucleotide ribosomal RNA is filed under the name Chloroflexota bacterium. Its description in RNAcentral is "Chloroflexi bacterium partial 16S ribosomal RNA". It matches the Rfam family "Bacterial small subunit ribosomal RNA", at positions 355 to 776 of the family's 1533-position model. The record is from RNAcentral. Lineage: Bacteria; Bacillati; Chloroflexota.
UGGGGAAUCUUCGGCAAUGGACGAAAGUCUGACCGAGCAACGCCGCGUGAGUGAAGAAGGUUUUCGGAUCGUAAAACUCUGUUGUUAGAGAAGAACAAGGACGUUAGUAACUGAACGUCCCCUGACGGUAUCUAACCAGAAAGCCACGGCUAACUACGUGCCAGCAGCCGCGGUAAUACGUAGGUGGCAAGCGUUGUCCGGAUUUAUUGGGCGUAAAGCGAGCGCAGGCGGUUUCUUAAGUCUGAUGUGAAAGCCCCCGGCUCAACCGGGGAGGGUCAUUGGAAACUGGGAGACUUGAGUGCAGAAGAGGAGAGUGGAAUUCCAUGUGUAGCGGUGAACUGCGUAGAUAUAUGGAGGAACACCAGUGGCGAAGGCGGCUCUCUGGUCUGUAACUGACGCUGAGGCUCGAAAGCGUGGGGAGCAAACAGG